This is a long non-coding RNA of Myotis lucifugus (little brown bat), 509 nucleotides long. RefSeq lists it as uncharacterized. The record is from RefSeq and is a predicted model, not a curated record. The transcript has 3 exons. NCBI's taxonomy places the organism in Eukaryota, Metazoa, Chordata, Mammalia, Chiroptera, Vespertilionidae.
GCGCUGCCUGCACUGCCUGACCAGAGACUACCUGACCGCCGCUGCCGGAGGAAGCGCGUACGGCCAAUACGCUCCGCAGCAUGAUGGUUGAAAAAGUGCGUCCUUCAGUUCUGGCCGUGGCAGGGUAUGCGGAGAGAUUUGCUGCAUUUCUAAAAUAUCUCUGAAAACAAGCUGCAUUUCAGAAUUGAAACCAGCAUUUCCUUUUCUACUUUAAGAGUGCACGCAGGAAGCCAUUGGGCACACCAAGGUGAACUCUUCUACUCUUUUGAACAACCUCUGAGCAAAUGACCCAUACAUGUGUUAUCUCGAGCCCUGACUUCUCAUUGGAGCUCCGGAACCAUAUAUCUAGCUGCUGAUUCAACAUUGGCACUUGACUCAAAGACUUCUCCCAGAUAACCUGUCUAAGACUUCACUUGUGGUCUUCUCCCUUAUUGUCUUCCAUCCAUUUACAUUUAAGAAGCCAGAAUCCUUGUCCUUACCACAUUCACCUCCCCCUUAUACAAUAAAAU